ACGAACGCUGGCGGCGCGCCUAAUACAUGCAAGUCGAACGGACUGGCUUCGGCCAGUCAGUGGCGGACGGGUGAGUAACACGUGGGUGACCUGCCCUCAAGUGGGGAAUAACGCUGCGAAAGCAGCGCUAAUACCGCAUACCCUUCAGCCGUCAGGGGCGGAAGGAAAGCUUUGGCGCUUGAGGAGGGGCCUGCGGCCGAUUAGCUAGUCGGGGGGUAAUGGCCCACCGAGGCGACGAUCGGUAGCUGGUCCGAGAGGAUGAUCAGCCACACUGGGACUGAGACACGGCCCAGACUCCUACGGGAGGCAGCAGUGGGGAAUUUUCCGCAAUGGGCGAAAGCCUGACGGAGCAAUGCCGCGUGGAGGU
RNAcentral lists this ribosomal RNA (367 nucleotides) under uncultured bacterium. RNAcentral's name for it is "bacterial SSU rRNA". It matches the Rfam family "Bacterial small subunit ribosomal RNA", at positions 29 to 408 of the family's 1533-position model. The record is from RNAcentral.